RNAcentral lists this small nuclear RNA (113 nucleotides) under Sinocyclocheilus rhinocerous. Its description in RNAcentral is "U1 spliceosomal RNA (ENSSRHG00000015186.1)". It matches the Rfam family "U1 spliceosomal RNA", at positions 51 to 166 of the family's 166-position model. Rfam says of the family: U1 is a small nuclear RNA (snRNA) component of the spliceosome (involved in pre-mRNA splicing). Its 5' end forms complementary base pairs with the 5' splice junction, thus defining the 5' donor site of an intron. Lineage: Eukaryota; Metazoa; Chordata; Actinopteri; Cypriniformes; Cyprinidae. The record is from RNAcentral.
AGAUCUCCAGGCUGCACUUAUACCCUUCUCUCUGACCUUUAUGAAUUCUCCACAAGUGAGAAUCUCAACUGCAGAAUUUCUGGUAGUGGGGACUGCGUUCGCACUCUCCCCGA